This 108-nucleotide ribosomal RNA is filed under the name Pteropus alecto (black flying fox). Lineage: Eukaryota; Metazoa; Chordata; Mammalia; Chiroptera; Pteropodidae. The record is from RNAcentral.
UAGAAAACUACCCUGAACAAGCCCGAUCCCAUCUGAUCUCGGAAUCUAAGAACGGUCGGGCCUGGUUAGUACUUGGAUGGGAGACCACCUAGGAAGACCAGGUGCUAU